Non-coding RNA from Potamilus streckersoni, 69 nucleotides. The record is from the annotation of a GenBank genome assembly. Lineage: Eukaryota; Metazoa; Mollusca; Bivalvia; Unionida; Unionidae.
UCGUAGCCUACUGGUUAGAGCUUCAGCCUCGAAUGCAGAAUGUAGUGGGUUCAAACCCCGGCAUAAAAA